This 531-nucleotide ribosomal RNA is filed under the name Triticum aestivum (bread wheat). RNAcentral's name for it is "partial small subunit ribosomal RNA". Lineage: Eukaryota; Viridiplantae; Streptophyta; Magnoliopsida; Poales; Poaceae. The record is from RNAcentral.
AUGUGCGAGUUGUUUGCUGAGCAAGUGAAUGCCGGAAAUAUAGCAGUACCUCGAGAGUGCGGCGGUGACCAUUGGAAUCCCUCUUCCGGCAUACCUCCCCCCUCUAGUGCGGCGGUGAAAGCCGCCAUCAAUGUUGAUGAGAUCGAAGAUCUUGAUUUGGAUGAUACUGAAGAACAAACAUCUCAGGCAACACCUACUUCAUCUAAAGUGAGGCUUGGGAUCGUCAUUCCGGAGAAGAACAAGAAACCAAAGACCGCACAAGUGAUGUGUGAGCAAGUUACAAGAAUUGGUGACAUUGCUGAGGCUUCUCACUCAUCAUUCCAGUCUUUCGUGAAGCAAGAUAAGGCAAACUGUGUCACCUCGGUCAUGGAUGAAGUCAUUGCUUGUGGUGCAACAAUAGGUACCGAUGAGUUCUUCAUGGCUAGCGAGUUGUUUAUGAAGAGGGCACAAAGGGAGAUGUUUCUUUACAUUCCUCUUGAGUCUCGAAAGAGUUGGUUGCGUAGGAAGUAUGACUUGAAGUAUGGGAACUAG